UGCCUUGUGGUGUUCCCUAUAGGCUGUGUUUUUUGCACUGGCUAUAGAGAAAGAAAAGGCAUAGUAAACCCCCCAUAUGCACUUCUAGGUGCACCCGAAUUGGACGAUUAUG
Molecule: small nucleolar RNA, 112 nt
Filed under: Sorex araneus (European shrew)
Lineage: Eukaryota; Metazoa; Chordata; Mammalia; Eulipotyphla; Soricidae
Description: Small nucleolar RNA SNORA51 (ENSSARG00000019598.1)
Source: RNAcentral